This 253-nucleotide ribosomal RNA is filed under the name uncultured bacterium. RNAcentral's name for it is "partial 16S ribosomal RNA". It matches the Rfam family "Bacterial small subunit ribosomal RNA", at positions 524 to 776 of the family's 1533-position model. The record is from RNAcentral.
GACGUAGGGCGCGAGCGUUGUCCGGAUUUAUUGGGCGUAAAGAGCUCGUAGGCGGCUUGUCGCGUCGAAUGUGAAAACCCGAGGCUCAACUUCGGGCUUGCAUUCGAUACGGGCAGGCUCGAGUUCGGUAGGGGAGACUGGAAUUCCUGGUGUAGCGGUGAAAUGCGCAGAUAUCAGGAGGAACACCGGUGGCGAAGGCGGGUCACUGGGCCGAUACUGACGCUGAGGAGCGAAAGCGUGGGGAGCGAACAGG